AUAUAUAAAUAGAAUGAUUUAUCGUGUUUUUAAACAUUGGCGUGCUUAAAUCGAGAGCCAAAAAGCGUUCUUUUCGACGCUAGAAAUAUUCAACAGAUAUAAAAUUUAUGAAUUAAAAUUAUGAACACUAAAAUUGUGUUUGUAAUUGUCAUUAUUUUUCUCAUAUGAUUUAAAUACUUGUGUUGAAAGUAAAUGAACUUCUACAAUGUGCGUUAAAACGAGGAAAAUUUUGUUGUGAAUACGUGAAAAUCUGAAAACAGUAACUGAACAAAUCGACAAUGGAUUUGGACAUUUGGAGGCAAAUUCAAUGGAAUAGACAAAUAUAGCUUACUAGGCUGAAGCCCAACGGAUGUGAUAGUCCCAUCAGGCUGCCUUUUUAAUAUAUGGAGCGGAGUUUCAUAUCAGGGGUCCACGGCCAUGGCCUCGUGCUGCUGGAAAAUGUUGAUAGCCAGGAAUCGUGCAUAAAGUAAAAAAAAAAUGGACCACAGGGCGCAGCUUGAGAACAAGAAAUACAGGAACUGGGUGAGAGCCGGGCUUGGUUUUAAAUAUGUAAAAGACGGCUUGGAGCCAUUCUGCGACCACCUUGUUAUUCAGCUGCAUACUGAUAUCUUAGAUAAAGUUAAACAGAAACACACUCUUUCGGCAGUUUCAUGUGGCCUUUGCGAUGUACGCACACUCCAGCCGGACCAUGUUCAGACUAAAACUAGACAGUGUCCUCUCGGUCAAACACAUUGUAACUGUCUACAUCCACGCGGGAAAACGUCUUGUCGCAACAACGUAUGUGGUGCCAUAUACGACGAAAUUAUUAGGCGUCACGCAUCCACUCCUCCUGCUCCAUGCUGGAGAAACACAGAUGCACAUCAGUGGUGUACUGAACCUUGGGCUGUUGCAAAAUGUUUCAUAAAUGCUCCAGGAUAUGAACACAAGCUAAGAGCAACUGAGUUUGACUGUUCCGGCUUGUUGCAUCUGUUGAUUGAUACCAUAGAGUUCCAUCAACAUAUCCAGAGUGUUAUAUCUGGCAAUGAUGCUUUCUCA
This is a long non-coding RNA of Mercenaria mercenaria, 1035 nucleotides long. RefSeq lists it as uncharacterized. The transcript has 3 exons. The record is from RefSeq and is a predicted model, not a curated record. Lineage: Eukaryota; Metazoa; Mollusca; Bivalvia; Venerida; Veneridae.